This 485-nucleotide ribosomal RNA is filed under the name Symbiodinium sp. Mp. Its description in RNAcentral is "partial Bacterial small subunit ribosomal RNA". It matches the Rfam family "Bacterial small subunit ribosomal RNA", at positions 910 to 1395 of the family's 1533-position model. The record is from RNAcentral. Lineage: Eukaryota; Dinophyceae; Suessiales; Symbiodiniaceae.
UUGACGGGGGCCCGCACAAGCGGUGGAGCAUGUGGUUUAAUUCGACGCAACGCGAAGAACCUUACCUGGCCUUGACAUGCAGAGAACUUUCCAGAGAUGGAUUGGUGCCUUCGGGAACUCUGACACAGGUGCUGCAUGGCCGUCGUCAGCUCGUGUCGUGAGAUGUUGGGUUAAGUCCCGCAACGAGCGCAACCCUUGUCCUCAGUUGCCAUCGGGUAGGGCCGGGCACUCUGGGGAGACUGCCGGUGACAAGCCGGAGGAAGGCGGGGAUGACGUCAAGUCCUCAUGGCCCUUAUGGGCUGGGCUACACACGUGCUACAAUGGCGGUGACAGUGGGCAGCGAAGGCGCAAGCCGGAGCGAAUCUCCAAAAGCCGUCUCAGUUCGGAUUGCACUCUGCAACUCGGGUGCAUGAAGUUGGAAUCGCUAGUAAUCGUGGAUCAGCAUGCCACGGUGAAUACGUUCCCGGGCCUUGUACACACCGCCC